CUGAAUGAGGUAAUUAAGUUAACCAACAAGUUUGCCAUUACAUAUAUCGUGUUUCCAAUCAAGAGACUCUUUGACUUCAAUAUAAUAAGCUUCAAACGAUAAUUUAUGGAAAGAAAUAUGGCUUUGGUGGUGUCUAAAUUCAGACCAUACAUAGCAUCUUUUAUAAUCAAAUGUUGAUAAAAAUAUUUUUGCAGUUCUAUGCGAGGAUUUUUUUUUCCAAUCAAUAAUGCAUAAUGCAGUAUUAAUCAUCUGCUGGAAUAUUAGUCAUAGAUAAAGUUAUGAUCAUCAAAUUCAUUAACCAGAGAGGGAAAAUUAUGGUCCAGAUCUUACAUAAAGACUCUUAUCUAAUCACUUGAAACCAAACUCAUUAUUUUUCCUUGUUAUUGCUCUUUUCUCUAUUGCACGCUAAAUAUCAUCCUCUGCCAAUUCGUAGUCUUUUCAAUGCUAUCUGUUAAACUGCUGCAAAACCUGAGCAUACGUUGAAGCAACAGCGAGAAAUCCAAGGACAUCCAACAUUGCCUUCAAUUCUUUCUCGAGCUUAAAUAGGGACAAUAGAUAUCGCACUCUCCAACUUGUUCAAAGAUUUAUACAUAAUUAAGUCCCUCUUAGAUUCUUUGAAGUUGCUCAGAGGUGUGUAUAUACUCAGUUUUGAUCAUGCCUUGCUGAAUCUUCUCUCUUAUGAAGUAGCAGUCAAUCUCAAUGUGUUUUGUUCUUUCAUGAAACAUAGGAUUGGCUGCUAUUUGAAUAGCUGCUUUGCUAUCUGUACGAAUGCAAAUUGUUGUGACCAAGGUUAUCGGCAGAGUGUUCUUCCACCUCUGGUGUGAGUGUAUGUACAGACUCCUCCUCAGCAGUUAUAGUGCUUAUUUCACCAACUAGCAGGGCACUAGAGUUACCUAUCAUAUUGGCAGCAUGAGUUGCAUUAGAAGUGUUGGAUGCUUGAGCAGCUAUGUGACUUUGCUCCAUCAUCUUGUAGAUUUUUGCAUAUUGAGUAGGUGUAAGCUUUGGUCCUUCAGUUCUUUGAAAUUGUGCUAGCUGUUGUUGAAUGCUAGGAUUACUAACUGAUCCUGUUGUGUGGUAGUUGUGAUGGCCAGGAGUGAGGCAUCAUCAUUUCAUUCACUUGAUUCAUGUCAGUUCCUAAACCUGGAUGGUUGCCUUGAUUCCAUUGUUCAGUAAUUACACCAGAUGCAUUAUAACUA
This is a long non-coding RNA of Lycium ferocissimum, 1196 nucleotides long. RefSeq lists it as uncharacterized. The record is from RefSeq and is a predicted model, not a curated record. Lineage: Eukaryota; Viridiplantae; Streptophyta; Magnoliopsida; Solanales; Solanaceae. The transcript has 4 exons.